UGUGUGUCGUAGUUAACGCAGUUAAACAGGGCUCCCGGGAAGUACGUCCGCAAGGCUUUUACGCAAAGGAAUUGACGGGGACCCGCACAAGCAGUGGAGCGCCUGGUUUAAUUCGAUGGUCAGCGAAGAACCUCACCUAGGCUUGAACUGUAGCUGCACGCUCCCAGAUACGGGAGAAUCCUUCGAGGGUGCUACAGAGGUGCUGCAUGGCUGUCGUCAGCUCGUGUCGUGAGAUGUAGGGUUAAGUCCCACAACGAGCGCAACCCCUAUUCAGUGUUAUAAUUACUCUGAAGACUGCCCUGUCCAAACGGGGAGGAAGGAGGGGACGACGUCCAGUCAUCAUGUCCCUUAUGUCUAGGGCUACACAGACGCUACAAUGGCCGGUACAAUGGGUUGCCAAACCGCGAGGUGGAGCCAAUCCCAUCAAAGCCGGUCCCAGUUCGGAUUGCAGUCUGCAACUCGACUGCAUGAAGUUGGAAUUGCUAGUAAUCGCGAAUCAGCACGUCGCGGUGAAUACGUUCUCGGGUCUUGUACACACCGCCCGUCAGGCACAGGGAGUCGCUCUUGCUCGAAGUUCC
RNAcentral lists this ribosomal RNA (578 nucleotides) under uncultured organism. RNAcentral's name for it is "bacterial SSU rRNA". It matches the Rfam family "Bacterial small subunit ribosomal RNA", at positions 840 to 1430 of the family's 1533-position model. The record is from RNAcentral.